CAUCAGAUCACCGGAAUUAAGCAACGUCGAGCAUGGUCAGUACCUAGAUAGGUGACCACUUGGGAAUACCAGGUGCUGCAAG
This is a non-coding RNA of Acanthosepion pharaonis, 82 nucleotides long. The record is from the annotation of a GenBank genome assembly. NCBI's taxonomy places the organism in Eukaryota, Metazoa, Mollusca, Cephalopoda, Sepiida, Sepiidae.